Gallus gallus (chicken) is the source of this 2111-nucleotide long non-coding RNA. RefSeq lists it as uncharacterized. The transcript has 4 exons. The record is from RefSeq and is a predicted model, not a curated record. NCBI's taxonomy places the organism in Eukaryota, Metazoa, Chordata, Aves, Galliformes, Phasianidae.
AAUUACUAGUUCCCAAAAUUGCUUGCCAGUGGUGAGUCAGAAGGUGUCUUAUAAGACAUGCAGUGUCAGUUAUAUAUUACUGUGAACUUUCUGUCUGCAUGGUCCACAUAUUUGAGUUGAAUCAUAUUCAGGACAGACCACUGCAAGGUCUCUUGAAUGGGCUGCUUUGGUGAGUUCUUGAAGAGACUGCAUGAUGAAUUGCAGAUAGCCACUAAUAUAAGGAGUGCCUUGUGAAAACUGCCAAAACUUUUACAUCCAUGAGGUAUGAAAGAGGGGAAGAGAAAUGGCUUUUGACAAAAGGAUCACUCUGGAGACUCCAUGAAUCACAGCAGCUACAGGUACCAGGGGUGGAAAAAAGUGGAAGAACAGAAGAUGCUGGACGAGGUGCUGGAUGAGGUGAAAGGGAGCUCAACACAGAAAAGGAGGCAACUCAUGGAGGAAAAGCAUUACAGUGUUUUGUAGGAACAUCAAGAAGGAAGCUGGAAAAUCUGGAGGAAGCUGGAGGAUGUUGAGUUUAAGUUGAGGAAGAAGAGACAAUGCAGAAAAAGAAGUUCUUUCUGAGGUGAGAACUUACUGACCUGUUUAUUUUUACAACCACGAGGAAUAUGAUGCUACUGCUGUCACUGCUACUUUUGGUAAUGACAUGAUACAGUAGUAAUGGAGCAAAAGUAGGUGUCAGAGUUGAAACAAAACAAAGAACACAACAGCUUUCAUUCAUAUCUCUAGAGUCUCCAGCAAGCAAAACUAUUUUGUUAAUAUUUUAUUGUUAUUAGUCAUAAGUUCAGCAAGGGAGCUAUUACAAGUGAAACACUAGAACAGACUGAGCUGACAGUAAGCUAAAACAUGCCUAGGGCUACAAACUUUUUUUCUAGUAUUAUGACUUUCUAGUUUCUGCUUGUGAUGAAUAAUGUGUCAGAAGAAUCCCUAAACUCCAUUACUGAUUACUAAGGUUGCUGAACAAAUGAUCUGGAAAAUAAUACAACUUUGAAGCAACUAUUUGGAAGUCACCACUUUUCUUUGCACUUUUCUUUGUUAAAAUAUCCACGUUAACCUGACCUUUCAGAUUCCUAAUUCAGCUGCCUUAUAUUUUUUCCAAAAUACACUUAUUUUUCUAAAUAAGACUGGACUUCUACCAGAGAGGUACAUUCUCAAUCCUGAGAAUGUGGACAAAACUUUUUUUUUUUUUUUUUUUAAACUCACCUUAUGCUCUACCACCAGUUGAGCAAAGUUCAAAUUCUGAUUCUUAACAAAAAAAGAAUGAUACCAGCUGCUCUCCAGUUUAAGUACUGGUGGAAGAUCCAUGUAAGAACUCUAGUUACUUAUAUUUAUAGAAAUGCUAAUCUGAGACUCAUUCUGAUAAGUGAAGGUCAAUUGUCUGAAGCUAAAAGAUAUUCAAUUUAUUUUCUAGGCUACACUUGAGGUUGUUGCAAAUUUCAGCUCAUGUAUCUACAUGAACUAGAGACUUUCAUUUCUCUUAUGCUGUUCCUUUCAUUUUUAGAUCCUUAAGUUGAUUGGAAAUGGAAUUACAUGGGCUAACAUGUUUGGACACUAAGUGCUCUAAUAUUUUGCAUGAUGAAGGACUUCAGAAAUGUUUUGUAUUUUCCAGCUAUAGCGACUGACCUCAACAGAUUUUCCCUCUUCUUAUAGGCAUUGCCUUACCAGUUUCUGUUGACAUUAUAUGUAGUCUUAAGCCUAUUACGUGAACUCCAUAUAAAGUCUCAUUUAAUAUUCUUGUUUUAACAUUUUGAGAAUAGCACAAAACUCCUCACUCUCCUGGUAUUUCUGCAGCAGAAUUACUACAACUUUCCAUGUCAUGUAACUUGCAUAUUUUGCUCUAAUUAGCCCUCUCUGCUAAAUGCUUCAACUGAGAAGAUAGAACAGGCUGAUGUGAGUGAGGAUGGAUUAUUUUAAAGUGAUCAUUGCAGACAAAAGUGAAUGGUGAAGAUAUGACAGUUUUUUUUCAGUUGGAGAAACUGUUGUUUUCAGUGAAAGCCAUCACAAUAUAUGGGCUUUUAAGAGAGGAUGAUACAGCAUAUAUUUCUGUUUUUCCACUGGUGUAAAUAUUCUUUCCAGUAAUAAAAUUCUUGUGAGGACUGGAAAGGCCUCUCUGG